Molecule: ribosomal RNA, 497 nt
Filed under: uncultured bacterium
Lineage: Bacteria
Description: partial 16S ribosomal RNA
Rfam family: Bacterial small subunit ribosomal RNA
Source: RNAcentral
GAUGAACGCUGGCGGCGUGCCUAAUACAUGCAAGUCGAGCGAACGGACGAGAAUCUUGCUUUUCUGAUGUUAGCGGCGGACGGGUGCGUAACACGUGGAUAACCUACCUAUAAGACUGGGAUAACUUCUGGAAACCGGAGCUAGUACCGGAUAAUAUUUUGAACCGCAUGGUUCAAACGUGAAUGACGGUCUUGCUGUCACUUAUAGAUGGUUCCGCGCUGCAUUAGCUAGUGGGUAAGGUAACGGCUUACCAAGGCAACGAUGCAUAGCCGACCAGGGAGAUGGUCAGGCGCUGGUGCGAGAGGGAGACCGUCCAGACUGCUACGGGAGGCAGCCGCAGGGUAUCUCCCGCGGUGGGCGUAGGCAUUACGGAGCAACGCGGCGUAGGUUGAGGGGGUCUUCGGACCUUAAAGCUCUGUGAUUAGGGAUGAACAUAUUUGUAAGUAACUGUGCACAUCUUGACGGUACCUAAUCAGAAAGCCACGGCUAACUACGUG